AGCUGCAGGCCUUGGGCAAGAUUCCUCCGACCCAAGCAGGCCUUGGGCAAGAUUCCAUCGACGGGGGAGCAGCGGGGAGAGGAACGUGAGGCCAUGGGGGAGGAAGAAGAUGGCCCCCCUCGUUCCCAAGGUUGGUCUUCGCGUGACGCUGGUUAAGGUAGUUACUUUCCUCGGAUCCAAUUUCUUUUGGUUGCCGUCAGUGUUCUUGACUAAUUUUGGAUCUCGUUUGCCUACAGAUUUUCUAUUCUUGCUCCCUAUGCGUCAGAUAUGUUGUUGUGUUCCUUGAUCUGUAAUUGCUUGUUGUUUUCAACUGUCUCAGUUUUGGUUACCUGAAGCUCAUCCCUGAUUUGCUCCUUUUCCCCUUGCAGGCUGGUCUGCUGCUGUCUGCAGGUGCUUGUGUUUCUGGGCGGUUCGUCCUGCUACCUCUUCGAUCAUCGCUCUACAGGUCAACCCAUUUUCUCCUUCACCUCUCAGCUCUAUAGCCAUGCGCUUGCGUUCUUGCGAGCGUGUGUCUUCCUUGUGUUCUUAUUGGUGGAAGUCUGGCAUCUAAGAGUGUCAUUCUCUGCUUGUAUUUUUGUGCUUUUGUCACUUAUAUGAAUCUUGGUGGAACCUACAUUUCUACCAUGUCCAGCUGAUUUGUUUGUUGGAACUGCUUGCAUGUGCCAUGUUGUUGGAGCUACCGAACAAGCCAUUGUCGUUGCAGAUAUGAUUUAUAAAGACUAUCCGUUGGACAAUAGUUGUAGUAGUUAGGUGACGACAAGAUGCAGCCAUUUGUAUAGGUUGUUUGUUUUGUUUUCUUGUUUGUGCAUGUCUUGUUCUUCAGGCUAUGAAAGUGGUCAAUGGCGUGGCAAAUAGAGUCCAUAAAAAUUGUUCGUUACCAUGCAGCUGUGGUAGAUGUGUUGUCAGGAGGGUGCAAUCUGUAUAAAACAUGGCCUCUGUCUAUGUCUUUGUCUGGUUCAUUAGUCCUGCUCUUCUUCGACCAUCCUUCGUUAGUUUAUUUGUUUCAUUUAUUAUGUGUAGAUCUAGGAGAGAUGCCUAUGAUCAUUCCUUUCCUACCAUGUGCUUGUGCUAAAUCGCAGUCAUGUAUUUUUUAGCUUUGUUUUCAUUCUUGAAUCUGUGAGCAUGGUUGUGAUAAGGUUUGUAGAUGCAGGGUUGUGUUGGCUCUCAAUGUCAUAUUUUCCCCCUAUCAACGAGGUCAUGGCUUGCAUUUCAGAUGAAUAGGUUGCUAUAUUACUAGAGUACUACUUGAUCUCUAUUAUGGUUUUACUGGAUACAAAGCAUAGUAACUAUUACAUCAUCUUAUAUAUCUUGUGUAUUGUGAUAUCUGUAUAGACACUGUCUACGUCCUCUUGACAUUCCCAGUUUUGUUUUCUAUAGCAUAUAUUUGACUCCUUUCCAUGCCUCUUGGUUCUGAAAGCGCUCUCAGAGCUCAGCGAUCAUGGGCCGUCGGAUCCGUUUGCUUGAUGCGUUUUCGGGCGUUGGAUCAAGCCGCUGGAAGAGCUGGGUCGUCGGAUAAAAAAAGGAGCUGUAGCAAUGAAUAGUUACCCCUGCUGUAAAGAUCUCGUGCCACCGCAUGUAAAUCGCGUGCCCUGCCGAGGGCAUUUUCGUAAUUUCGCGUGGUUGCAAAAGUCCCCAAUAGCGAUCGGGUGAGAUCGUGGAUAGCGAGCACCGGGU
RNAcentral lists this long non-coding RNA (1674 nucleotides) under Triticum aestivum (bread wheat). RNAcentral's name for it is "long non-coding RNA (TAES_LNC021880)". Lineage: Eukaryota; Viridiplantae; Streptophyta; Magnoliopsida; Poales; Poaceae. The record is from RNAcentral.